UAUAUGUAACGCUGCAUUAUAAAGUAACAUAUCCUAUCCUAAUCCUAUUAUAAUUAGAUCUAUCAUCUCUGGCGCAAAUGUCAAAUAGUUCGAUUGUUGGUAUCCGAGAUCUCAAAUUCGAAUUCUACUUGAUUCACAUUUUCAUCUAAAUUUACUUUUAAAAGAAAUAAACAAAACAAAUAGCGUAUUAUCUUUCUCUUAAAAAAAAAUCUAUUAUAAUUAGGAUUCUACUUUAAUUUAAAUUUAUAUCUUAUUCCAUCCUAAUGUAAUAAGUAUUUAACUCUAUAUUUAGAUAACUCAAAUCUAAUCAAAUUCCAUUAAAAA
Molecule: long non-coding RNA, 324 nt
Filed under: Ananas comosus (pineapple)
Lineage: Eukaryota; Viridiplantae; Streptophyta; Magnoliopsida; Poales; Bromeliaceae
Description: long non-coding RNA (ACOM_LNC043963)
Source: RNAcentral